UGCGUAGGCGGACUUUCAAGUCAGUGGUGAAAGCCCAUCGCUCAACGAUGGAAUUGCCAUUGAUACUGUUGGUCUUGAGUACGGUUGAAGUGGGCGGAAUGUGUCAUGUAGCGGUGAAAUGCUUAGAUAUGACACAGAACACCUAUUGCGAAGGCAGCUCGCUAAGCCGUAACUGACGCUGAGGCACGAAAGUGUGGGUAGCAAACAGGAUUAGAUACCCUGGUAGUCC
RNAcentral lists this ribosomal RNA (229 nucleotides) under uncultured bacterium. RNAcentral's name for it is "partial 16S ribosomal RNA". It matches the Rfam family "Bacterial small subunit ribosomal RNA", at positions 568 to 796 of the family's 1533-position model. The record is from RNAcentral.